Molecule: unclassified non-coding RNA, 322 nt
Filed under: uncultured Glomeraceae
Lineage: Eukaryota; Fungi; Glomeromycota; Glomeromycetes; Glomerales; Glomeraceae
Description: sequence contains ITS2
Source: RNAcentral
AACGCAUAUUGCACUCUCUGGUAAUCCGGGGAGUAUGCCUGUUUGAGGGUCAGUAAAUAAUAAUUAUCAUAAUCUUUUGAUUGUGGAAUUGGGCUUUUAUUUCAUUUUAAUGAUUUAUGGCCUUAAAUUUAUGUUACCGCUUGUUUAAUAUGAAAUUCGACCGAAUGGAGCAAUUAAACAUUCUCUCGUUAGGCGGAUUCAUCAAGCAAUUACGAUUUUUUGGCCGUCGAAGCACUUUUUUUUUUAGAAGUGCUUGGUCGAGAUUGUAAGAUACAUUUUUAACAAUGACCUCAAAUCAGGCAAGAAUACCCGCUGAACUUAA